RNAcentral lists this ribosomal RNA (1451 nucleotides) under uncultured bacterium. RNAcentral describes it as "bacterial SSU rRNA". It matches the Rfam family "Bacterial small subunit ribosomal RNA". The record is from RNAcentral.
GAUGAACGCUAGCUACAGGCUUAACACAUGCAAGUCGAGGGGCAGCAUGGUCUUAGCUUGCUAAGGCCGAUGGCGACCGGCGCACGGGUGAGUAACACGUAUCCAACCUGCCGUCUACUCUUGGACAGCCUUCUGAAAGGAAGAUUAAUACAAGAUGGCAUCAUGAGUCCACAUGUUCACAUGAUUAAAGGUAUUCCGGUAGACGAUGGGGAUGCGUUCCAUUAGAUAGUAGGCGGGGUAACGGCCCACCUAGUCUUCGAUGGAUAGGGGUUCUGAGAGGAAGGUCCCCCACAUUGGAACUGAGACACGGUCCAAACUCCUACGGGAGGCAGCAGUGAGGAAUAUUGGUCAAUGGGCGAGAGCCUGAACCAGCCAAGUAGCGUGAAGGAUGACUGCCCUAUGGGUUGUAAACUUCUUUUAUAAAGGAAUAAAGUCGGGUAUGCAUACCCGUUUGCAUGUACUUUAUGAAUAAGGAUCGGCUAACUCCGUGCCAGCAGCCGCGGUAAUACGGAGGAUCCGAGCGUUAUCCGGAUUUAUUGGGUUUAAAGGGAGCGUAGAUGGAUGUUUAAGUCAGUUGUGAAAGUUUGCGGCUCAACCGUAAAAUUGCAGUUGAUACUGGAUAUCUUGAGUGCAGUUGAGGCAGGCGGAAUUCGUGGUGUAGCGGUGAAAUGCUUAGAUAUCACGAAGAACUCCGAUUGCGAAGGCAGCCUGCUAAGCUGCAACUGACAUUGAGGCUCGAAAGUGUGGGUAUCAAACAGGAUUAGAUACCCUGGUAGUCCACACGGUAAACGAUGAAUACUCGCUGUUUGCGAUAUACAGCAAGCGGCCAAGCGAAAGCGUUAAGUAUUCCACCUGGGGAGUACGCCGGCAACGGUGAAACUCAAAGGAACUGACGGGGGCCCGCACAAGCGGAGGAACAUGUGGUUUAAUUCGAUGAUACGCGAGGAACCUUACCCGGGCUUAAAUUGCAGAUGAAUUACGGUGAAAGCCGUAAGCCGCAAGGCAUCUGUGAAGGUGCUGCAUGGUUGUCGUCAGCUCGUGCCGUGAGGUGUCGGCUUAAGUGCCAUAACGAGCGCAACCCUUGUUGUCAGUUACUAACAGGUUCUGCUGAGGACUCUGACAAGACUGCCAUCGUAAGAUGUGAGGAAGGUGGGGAUGACGUCAAAUCAGCACGGCCCUUACGUCCGGGGCUACACACGUGUUACAAUGGGGGGGUACAGAGGGCCGCUACCACGCGAGUGGAUGCCAAUCCCAAAAACCUCUCUCAGUUCGGACUGGAGUCUGCAACCCGACUCCACGAAGCUGGAUUCGCUAGUAAUCGCGCAUCAGCCACGGCGCGGUGAAUACGUUCCCGGGCCUUGUACACACCGCCCGUCAAGCCAUGGGAGCCGGGGGUACCUGAAGUGCGUAACCGCGAGGAGCGCCCUAGGGUAAAACUGGUGACUGGGGCU